Molecule: long non-coding RNA, 692 nt
Organism: Cervus elaphus (red deer)
Lineage: Eukaryota; Metazoa; Chordata; Mammalia; Artiodactyla; Cervidae
Exons: 3
Source: RefSeq, a predicted model, not a curated record
UGGCUUCUAGAACUCUUCCUAACAUUUUAUGACCAAGAAAUACUUGCUGGGUGUAUACGUAUAUGAUUCACAGCCUACAUAUGACAAUUUGUGUGGUUCUUACUAUUUAAUACUAGGUGGUAAGAACAGUUCCAAACAUAUCCCAUGAAAGUUAAUAGGAAAUUCCUAGCAUAGGUCAGGUAGUACCUCUCCGUCACAGAAAACUGAGGACGUGCAACUCCACCAAUUAAUCCCACACAAUAUGGAGAAAGAAAUCAAAGGCGAGCCUGGAAGGAGUUUACAUCUUAUCUUCAGAAACAAGUCAAAUGUGUAUUUCAAUAUGGCUGCUUCCUGCCCACAAGUGAUAUAGAAAUAAUAGAGCAACGAGCGCAAACAAAUAAUACAGCAAAAAGAGGAUGGUGGUAUUCUGUAAUCUGUGACCUGUGCUGGUUGUUAAUCAGUAACCUAGGUCAAUACCUUGUGUGGGGACUUCCCUGGUGGUCCAGUGGUGAAGACCCCGCACUUCCAAUGCAGGGGACACGGGUUCGAUCCCUGGCCAAGGAAGAUCCCACAUGCCUCAGAGCAACUAAGCCCAUGUGCCACAACUACUGAGCCUGUGUGCUGCAACUACUGAAGGCCGAAAGCUCUAGAGCUGUGCUGUGCAACAAGAGAAACCACCACAAUGAGAAGCCUGUGCACUGCAAUUAGAGAAA